GACGAACGCUGGCGGCGUGCUUAACACAUGCCAGUCGAACGGAAAGGCCCUGCUUUUGUGGGGUGCUCGAGUGGCGAACGGGUGAGUAACACGUGAGUAACCUGCCCUUGACUUUGGGAUAACUUCAGGAAACUGGGGCUAAUACCGGAUAGGAGCUCCUGCUGCAUGGUGGGGGUUGGAAAGUUUCGGCGGUUGGGGAUGGACUCGCGGCUUAUCAGCUUGUUGGUGGGGUAGUGGCUUACCAAGGCUUUGAUGGGUAGCCGGCCUGAGAGGGUGACCGGCCACAUUGGGACUGAGAUACGGCCCAGACUCCUACGGGAGGCAGCAGUGGGGAAUAUUGCACAAUGGGCGGAAGCCUGAUGCAGCAACGCCGCGUGCGGGAUGAAGGCCUUCGGGUUGUAAACCGCUUUCGCCUGUGACGAAGCGUGAGUGACGGUAAUGGGUAAAGAAGCACCGGCUAACUACGUG
RNAcentral lists this ribosomal RNA (468 nucleotides) under uncultured bacterium. RNAcentral describes it as "partial 16S ribosomal RNA". It matches the Rfam family "Bacterial small subunit ribosomal RNA", at positions 28 to 507 of the family's 1533-position model. The record is from RNAcentral.